This 447-nucleotide ribosomal RNA is filed under the name uncultured bacterium. Its description in RNAcentral is "bacterial SSU rRNA". It matches the Rfam family "Bacterial small subunit ribosomal RNA", at positions 355 to 825 of the family's 1533-position model. The record is from RNAcentral.
UCGGGAAUUUUGGGCAAUGGGCGCAAGCCUGAUCCAGCAAUGCCGCGUGAGUGACGAAGGCCUUAGGGUUGUAAAGCUCUUUUGGCGGGGAAGAUAAUGACGGUACCCGCAGAAUAAGCUCCGGCUAACUUCGUGCCAGCAGCCGCGGUAAUACGUAGGGACCAAGCGUUGUUCGGAUUUACUGGGCGUAAAGGGCGCGUAGGCGGUGUGUCAAGUCAGUUGUGAAAUCUCCGAGCUUAACUCGGAACGGUCAACUGAUACUGUCACACUAGAGUACAGAAGGGGCAAUCGGAAUUCUUGGUGUAGCGGUGAAAUGCGUAGAUAUCAAGAGGAACACCUGAGGCGAAGGCGGGUUGCUGGGCUGAUACUGACGCUGAGGCGCGAAAGCUAGGGUAGCAAACGGGAUUAGAUACCCCUGUAGUCCCUGAGCGGGCUGGCAAGGCGCAU